RNAcentral lists this long non-coding RNA (3477 nucleotides) under Capra hircus (goat). Its description in RNAcentral is "lncRNA (ENSCHIG00010007632.1)". The record is from RNAcentral. Lineage: Eukaryota; Metazoa; Chordata; Mammalia; Artiodactyla; Bovidae.
UAAAGACCAAAAUAUUUAAAAUGGCAUCUAGUGCUUGUCCUAGUGUAUCUCGGGCUUAACUUUCAGCCCUUAUUUCAUAUAGGUCUCUUGAGCACAGCUUUGUUCAGGAUAUUUCCAUGUCUGUUGCAGGGCAUGGUACCUAAGAAAUACAAAAAAGAGUUCUUAUCUGUCCCAUCACUUGUGCUUCUAAGGAAUCAUGUUCUUUUUUGCUCCUGUGGCUUUUCCCUCCAUCUAAUGCUCCUGCAACUUUUCUUCCUUCCCAUCCUCUUGACUUUCUAGGUUUUACUAUGGAGGACCUCUCCUAGGGAGNNNNNNNNNNCAAUGCCCAAGCCCUCCCCAACAAGGUGCUUUUCCACGUUAUUUCUGUAACUCCACUGUAGCACUUAGUCUGUAUUACAGUUCAGUUUAAUUGCCUGUCUCUCUUAGAUUAUGAGAAUAUUUGUUUUAUUUUUCAUCUUUACAUGCCAUGUCUAGCAAUUUAGCAGGUACAGAAUGAGCAUAAUUUUUGGAUAAGGUACAAUUUUAUAUCUUUUUCCCCUUGCUUUUUAGGAUGAACAGGUAUAGUCUGGAAACCUCAGAGCAGUCAUGCUGAGUAUGAACUAUUGUCUAAAAAACAUUCACUUUCCCCUCCCACCCCAGGAAGACACUGCUAAUGCUCUCUAUGACAUCUACCAUGAUAAACCAGGAGAAAUAAAAAUUAUGCCUUUGCUAUGAGUCUGCAUGAUCCCAGUUCCUGGAGAGUUUCUAUGAGACAGGAUGCUUCUGAUUCAGUCUCCUGGCUCCCUUACUCAACUCUACCUCAUGGUAAGAAGGACAAUUUGUCUGCUUAUAUUUUCUUCUGUGCUUCAGUUAAAUUUAGUGCAAAAGAUGAUGUAUCCCUUCCAUUUGCUGUAUUUUAAUGUGAUCAUUGAGCGCUCUGCUUUAGCACCUUGCAUAAUGAAUGUCUCAUUGGCAUACUGCUUAAGCAUCAUGAAACCAGAGCAGAUUCCCUAUUUGACUAGGAGGGCCUCCUUAACGCCAUAACAAAUCAACAUGGAAGUAACAGGAAAAGGAAGCACGAGGCCAGGAGAAUUCGUGCAGAGAUGCACUCUCCAUGAGAAGAUCUGGGCAAAUCUAAAAUAAAGAGCUCUUAAUUAAAUUCACAGAAAUGAACGUCUAUCUCAUUACACUGAAUCUUCCCCCAUCCCCAUCCUUAGUUUUAAAAUAAGCUAGCUAUCCCUUGGAGCUUCCCUCCUCACCUUCAAUGCGUUAGACACAGGAGACAUGGGUUUGAUCCCUGGGUCAAGAAGAUCUCUUGGAGGAGGGCAUGGCAACCCACUCCAGUAGUCUUGCCUGGAGAAUUCNNNNNNNNNNNNNNNNNNNNNNNNNNNNNNNNNNNNNNNNNNNNNNNNNNNNNNNNNNNNNNNNNNNNNNNNNNNNNNNNNNNNNNNNNNNNNNNNNNNAACCCACUCCAGUAGUCUUGCCUGGAGAAUUCCAUGGACAGAGGAGUCUGACGUGCUACCGCCCAUGGGGUUGCAAAGAGUCAGAUACAACUGAAGUGACUGAUCACCCAUGCACAGCUAUUGCUCAUGGACCUAACUAAUUACACAAUUAGCUUCUGAGAUAGUGCUCAAACAUAUCAAGAAUAAACAAAUAAAAAGAGAGUAAAAGAAUAAAUGCUGGGAAAGAUUGAAGACCAGAGGACAAGGGGGUGACAGAGGAUGAGAUGGUUGGAUAGCAUCACCGACUCAACUCAAUGAACAUGAGUUUAAGCAAACUUAGGAAGAUAGUGAAGGACGGGGAAGCCUGGUGUGCCGCAGUCCAUGGGGUCACUGGACGUGGACAUGACUUGGUAACUGAACUAUAAAAACAAAGGAAUAAAAGAAUCAUUAACACACAAGCACCAACACAUAGAGGAAAAACUUAAUGUCGAUAUGAAAUAGCAAACAUUCCAGGGGAAAAAUGAGCAAACAGAACAAAUAGGGACUUUUCAAAAGAAGAAAGGCUUAUCAUAGCUAAUGCACAUGGAAGAAAAUGUUUAAGUUUAAUCUCAUUGGGAAUCUGAGAAGUGCAAAUGAGGAAAAAAAAGAAUGAGAUGCCAUUUCUCGCCCACCAGAUUGGUAAAAAUUAAAGUGUCUUAUCAUAUUGUGUGUUUAUGAGAAUUUAGUGAAGCAAAAGCUCUCAUAUACAGCUGGUGGGAAUUAGUACAAACAUUGUGGAAGUCAUUUGGCAGCAUUCAUGAAAAUGAAAAAUGUGCAUUCUCUAUGGCCCAGGAGGAGUUCUCCUCCCCGGUCUCCAGUGCAGAGAAACUGUCACUCCUAUGCUCCAGAAGGCAAGCGCUGCAAUGUUGUUGGACAUAUAAAAUAGUCUAUAAAAUAAUCUAACAUGGUUAGAUAUUCUAUAAUAUGUUCACUCUAUAGUGAUUUUCACACAUACUACCAUUUGACGCUGCAAAUCUCUACGUUUAAGACCUGGGUAUUAUGAUUACUAUUCCAUGACACAGUCCAAUUUUAGACCAUAGUAUAAUAUUUACCAAUACAAAACAGCAUAUAGCUGAGAACAAUGGUUUUGGAAACCCACUAUACAUACCAUAUGUCAUAUAUUUUCAUCUAAAGCAGCUACGAUCAUGCUUGCAUGGGUACUAAGUCGCUUCAGUCAUAUUUGACUCUUUAUGACCCCAUGGGCUGUAACCAAGCAGGUUCUUCUGUUCCUGGGGAUUCUCCAGGCAGGAAUACUGGAAUGGGUUGCCUUGCCCUCCUCCAGGGGAUCUGAACCCACGUCUCUUACGUCUCCUUCAUUGACAGGUGGGUUCUUUACCACUAGCACCACCUGACUAUGUUUACUCUUGCUGAAAAUCUUAUUCUAAACAUCUCACAUAACCCUUGGUUGCAAUCUGAAAUGCGUUCUGCAUUUCCCAACUUUGGUCACUUCAAAAGUAACGCCAGUGUAGUCUAUGAUAAUAAAUUCUUUGGAAAAAUCAUCCUUGAGUUCAGAAUUUACACGUAUGGAAUUCAUUCUCUUCAGAAGUAAGAACUGGGUCACACUGUUUAACCUUAUAUGGAGCAUCAGCUAGGGCAGAGUUAAACUCAUGGCGAAAGUAUCUCUGUCCUGCUUUAAAGUUCUAAAACAGAUUUACAAUUGAUUCGCAUCAAUUUACAGUGGAUUCUGCAUCCAUGAAUUCAACCAAACACAGAUGGAAAAUAUGCACACACACAAAAAAAUUCCAGAAAGUUCCAAAAAGCAAGAUUUGAAUUUUCUAUGCUGCCAGCUAUAUACAUAUCAAUUAUAUUAGGUAUUGCAAGUAAUCUAGGAGUGAUUUAAAGUAUAUGGAGGAUGUGCAAAGGUUGCACAUAAAUGCUAUGCUAUUUUAUAUAAGGGACUUGAUCAUCAUCAGAUUUGGGUACCCAAGUAGGGGUCCUAGAACCAACCCCCACAGAUACUGAGGGGCAACUAUAUUUCAUUAUCUGAACUAGUCAUGGUCCCACAAUGAAAGACUGA